Molecule: non-coding RNA, 70 nt
Organism: Podarcis lilfordi (Lilford's wall lizard)
Lineage: Eukaryota; Metazoa; Chordata; Lepidosauria; Squamata; Lacertidae
Source: the annotation of a GenBank genome assembly
GCUUGGAUAGCUCAGCCAGAGCACGAGACUCUUAAUCUCGGGGUUGUGGGUUCAAGCCCCACAUUGGGCA